AACGAACGCUGGCGGCAGGCCUAACACAUGCAAGUCGAGCGCACUCUUCGGAGUGAGCGGCGGACGGGUUAGUAACGCGUGGGAACAUACCCUUUUCUACGGAAUAGCCUCGGGAAACUGAGAGUAAUACCGUAUACGCCCUUCGGGGGAAAGAUUUAUCGGAGAAGGAUUGGCCCGCGUUUGAUUAGAUAGUUGGUGGGGUAAUGGCCUACCAAGUCUACGAUCAAUAGCUGGUUUGAGAGGAUGAUCAGCAACACUGGGACUGAGACACGGCCCAGACUCCUACGGGAGGCAGCAGUGGGGAAUCUUAGACAAUGGGCGCAAGCCUGAUCUAGCCAUGCCGCGUGAGUGACGAAGGCCUUAGGGUCGUAAAGCUCUUUCGCCAGAG
RNAcentral lists this ribosomal RNA (388 nucleotides) under Loktanella sp. RNAcentral describes it as "bacterial SSU rRNA". It matches the Rfam family "Bacterial small subunit ribosomal RNA", at positions 29 to 444 of the family's 1533-position model. The record is from RNAcentral. Lineage: Bacteria; Pseudomonadati; Pseudomonadota; Alphaproteobacteria; Rhodobacterales; Roseobacteraceae.